RNAcentral lists this transfer RNA (87 nucleotides) under Camelus bactrianus (Bactrian camel). It matches the Rfam family "tRNA". Rfam says of the family: Transfer RNA (tRNA) molecules are approximately 80 nucleotides in length. Their secondary structure includes four short double-helical elements and three loops (D, anti-codon, and T loops). Further hydrogen bonds mediate the characteristic L-shaped molecular structure. tRNAs have two regions of fundamental functional importance: the anti-codon, which is responsible for specific mRNA codon recognition, and the 3' end, to which the tRNAs corresponding amino acid is attached (by aminoacyl-tRNA synthetases). tRNAs cope with the degeneracy of the genetic code in two manners: having more than one tRNA (with a specific anti-codon) for a particular amino acid; and 'wobble' base-pairing, i.e. permitting non-standard base-pairing at the 3rd anti-codon position. RNAcentral also lists the same sequence under 2 other names. The record is from Rfam by way of RNAcentral. Lineage: Eukaryota; Metazoa; Chordata; Mammalia; Artiodactyla; Camelidae.
GAGGGUAUAGCUCAAGCAGUAGAGUGCAUGCUUAGCAUGCACGAGGUCCUGUGCUGAAGGUCCUGGGUUCAAUCCCCAGUACCUCCU